AUGGUAGAACAAAUUCAAUACAAGUGUUGUGUGGUCCUAAAAGAGGCUAACAUCACUGACAAGCGUAUCAAUGAAAUUGUAUUGACUGGGGGGAUGACAAGAGUUCCCAUGAUACGGAGAAUCAUAUAUGACAUAUUUGGCAAGAAUCAGGGUACAAGCGUGAACCAUGAUGAAGCCGUGGUUAUCGGUUCAGCAAUACAAGCUGCUCUCAUUGUGGAAGAUCAGCGUGAGAUGAGAGAAGACAUGAUUCCACUCUCUAUUGGUGUUGAGUCAGAAGGAGUUUUCAUGCGGGUUAUUCCAAGGCAUACCACAAUUCCUACUAAACGGACGGUUAAAAUUCCUUCAUGGUGUGCAUAUGGUGAAAGUCUGCAUCUCAAAGUUUUCCUUGGGGAGCAUGUCAUGGUUAGCCAUAACACAUUCCUAGGAGAGGUAGAGCUAGUCAACAAUCGAUGGUCGGGUCAAGGAUCAGUUCAUUUUGAGCUGACUUUUGAAGUUGACACAGACUACAUGGUCAAAGUAACUGGCAGAAACCCUGGUGACGCCGACGGCGCGAGGAAAGCAACAUUCAAGGUCUUCAAUGUACGCGAGAUCGUUAUGUCUAAGGGCAAAGUCGGCGAGUCCGUUAGGAACGCCUUGCUUGGCUGGUCAAUGCAAGGCAUAGAGAUCCAUGCUCGUCUGGUAAACAUGGGAAAGCAUAUAGCGAAUACCCUCCGCGACGUCUUGUCGGCGAGAAAAGAUGAGGUCCCAAAGAACAUCUAUGAUGAUGCGGCAAAGGCCCUGGCUGAUUUGCUGACGGUGUUGCAUGCGGGCAGCAAAGACGCUGCGCACAUCCAUGUGCUGAAAGAUAAGAUGCUCGCUGCUGCGGCAGAGGAAGAGAAGCUGAUGACGGAUUGGAACCCACCGUCAACGUCUCGUCAUAGAGGUUCUUAUUCAGAUUAUUCAGACUAUGAAGAUGAGGAAGAGAGUGCAUAG
RNAcentral lists this ribosomal RNA (972 nucleotides) under Triticum aestivum (bread wheat). RNAcentral's name for it is "partial small subunit ribosomal RNA". The record is from RNAcentral. Lineage: Eukaryota; Viridiplantae; Streptophyta; Magnoliopsida; Poales; Poaceae.